UGAUUUAUUGGAAAAUCCAAAAAUGAAACCACUUUUUACAUCCUUCUUGGAGUAUAAAUUCAGGCACCUCCACCACAGCCAGAGCCCAAGUCUCAGCUGGAGGUCAGAGUCAGCAGCUUACCAUGCUCUGGGAAGGAACCCACUCUCCAUGUAGGUCUCUCUGGAGUGAUCUGAAGACAGGAGCUGACCUCGAGGAUACAGGAUUAUUGCAGUAAGGGAAGGAGGCUCUGGCGAUGUGGAAAACAACCCAGCCAUAGAGCUGCAAGCAUCUCACAGGCCACGAAGAAGGAACUGUCUUCACAGGAAGGAUCAACAAGGUUCUGCUGGAAAGAACAGG
Long non-coding RNA from Myotis davidii, 337 nucleotides. RefSeq lists it as uncharacterized. The record is from RefSeq and is a predicted model, not a curated record. The transcript has 2 exons. Lineage: Eukaryota; Metazoa; Chordata; Mammalia; Chiroptera; Vespertilionidae.